Molecule: long non-coding RNA, 537 nt
Organism: Erigeron canadensis
Lineage: Eukaryota; Viridiplantae; Streptophyta; Magnoliopsida; Asterales; Asteraceae
Exons: 3
Source: RefSeq, a predicted model, not a curated record
AAUGAUCCACCAAACACCCCAUUCCUUUUCUUUUUCUUUUGCCUGCGCAGUACACACACACGACACCCUCCCCGUUCUAAAUCAACAUUUGACAAAUUGAAAUCAUAUGGGAAUUUAAAGGAAGUAGUCAGCUAGCAUUAAAAAAAUCAAGGAUUCAUCAUUUUCAUCUUACUCUUCUUCAUUCUUAUCUCAAGAAUAUCAGAUUGGUUUUGAAUAGACGUGGAGACUAGAUUUGCUCAUUCUCAAGUUUGCUCGCCCUUUUGCUCUUUGAUCGCUAAGGUAACCAACAGUAAGUCUUAGAUCAUCUUGGCAUUUUACGGCCAUUCUUUUGACUUUGGACGUACAAUUAGCAUCAGACAUAUGAGAACCAUCAUCUUAUUAGUUCUAAUCGUACUAGACUGUCCAAAUAUUUAUCUUGUAUUCAGUGGGCCAAAUUCCAUAUAUGGAUGACUUGUAUCCAUAUUCUGGGGUUCACAUUUGAACGAUUGUACUUGUAUUAGACUUGUAUUUGGUAUUAAAUGGAUGUAAUUUCUAUUA